UCCGGACUGGUGUAAUGGUUAACAUCUGUCGCUUUCACCGACAAGCUCGGGGUUCGAUUCCCCGGUCCGGAA
This is a transfer RNA of Pneumocystis jirovecii, 72 nucleotides long. It matches the Rfam family "tRNA". From Rfam's summary of the family: Transfer RNA (tRNA) molecules are approximately 80 nucleotides in length. Their secondary structure includes four short double-helical elements and three loops (D, anti-codon, and T loops). Further hydrogen bonds mediate the characteristic L-shaped molecular structure. tRNAs have two regions of fundamental functional importance: the anti-codon, which is responsible for specific mRNA codon recognition, and the 3' end, to which the tRNAs corresponding amino acid is attached (by aminoacyl-tRNA synthetases). tRNAs cope with the degeneracy of the genetic code in two manners: having more than one tRNA (with a specific anti-codon) for a particular amino acid; and 'wobble' base-pairing, i.e. permitting non-standard base-pairing at the 3rd anti-codon position. The record is from Rfam. NCBI's taxonomy places the organism in Eukaryota, Fungi, Ascomycota, Pneumocystomycetes, Pneumocystales, Pneumocystaceae.